This is a long non-coding RNA of Eptesicus fuscus (big brown bat), 540 nucleotides long. RefSeq lists it as uncharacterized. The transcript is spliced from 3 exons. Lineage: Eukaryota; Metazoa; Chordata; Mammalia; Chiroptera; Vespertilionidae. The record is from RefSeq and is a predicted model, not a curated record.
GAACACCAAUGCUGGAUGCCUUGAGACAUGUUUGUUGCUAUUUCUGGCAGCACAUUUACAAAUUAGAAAAUUACAAAUGCAAACCUCAGCCCCAGAGGCCCGGUGCAAAUGAGGUAACAGCUCAUGGACUCCCAGGGCUCAUCUCCCCAUUAGCCCGUGUGAAAACAGAGGUGACUCACUGGGAAGUUGGAGCUGCAGCCAGAAGCCUACCGGAAGCCGAAAGAGGAGGUAAGAGAAGGUGGAUUCCUCCUGAGACCAGUUCACUUCUUGGAGGCAAUAUUGCAUUCCUACUGCCAGAUCAUGGAGAUCUCAAGCUAAUUCAGGAAUUGGCCGUAGAAUGGAAAGCGAAGUCCAGAGCAGAGUGCUGCUGACCGUGGUCCUGACCAUUUUCACACACAGAAGUAAAUGACUUUCAGGAAAUUUGAACCAGUUGAAUAAGACAUAGAAGCAAGGGGGAGAAAAAGGAAGAAUGAAGGGCAAACACGGAGAGAAAGAGGGGAAAAUUCUUCCCAUGUAAAUUAUUAAGCAAUUUCGUCAAGA